UACGGGGGGGGCAAGCGUUGUUCGGAAUUAUUGGGCGUAAAGAGCUCGUAGGCGGCUUGUUGCGUCGACUGUGAAAACCCGCGGCUCAACCGCGUGGCUUGCAGUCGAUACGGGCAGGCUAGAAUUCGGUAGGGGAGACUGGAAUUCCUGGUGUAGCGGCGAAAUGCGCAGAUAUCAGGAGGAACACCGGUGGCGAAGGCGGGUCUCUGGGCCGAUAUUGACGCUGAGGAGCGAAAGCGUGGGGAGCGAACAGG
Molecule: ribosomal RNA, 254 nt
Filed under: uncultured bacterium
Lineage: Bacteria
Description: partial 16S ribosomal RNA
Rfam family: Bacterial small subunit ribosomal RNA
Source: RNAcentral